Molecule: ribosomal RNA, 490 nt
Filed under: uncultured bacterium
Lineage: Bacteria
Description: partial 16S ribosomal RNA
Rfam family: Bacterial small subunit ribosomal RNA
Source: RNAcentral
AUUGAACGCUGGCGGCAUGCUUUACACAUGCAAGUCGAACGGCAGCACGAAAGAGCUUGCUCUUUUGGUGGCGAGUGGCGAACGGGUGAGUAAUGCAUCGGAACGUACCGAGUAAUGGGGGAUAACUGUCCGAAAGGAUAGCUAAUACCGCAUACGCUUUGAGAAGGAAAGCGGGGGCUCUUCGGACCUCACGUUAUUCGAGCGGCCGAUGUCUGAUUAGCUAGUUGGUGGGGUAAAGGCCUACCAAGGCGACGAUCAGUAGCGGGUCUGAGAGGAUGAUCCGCCACACUGGGACUGAGACACGGCCCAGACUCCUACGGGAGGCAGCAGUGGGGAAUUUUGGACAAUGGGCGCAAGCCUGAUCCAGCCAUGCCGCGUGUCUGAAGAAGGCCUUCGGGUUGUAAAGGACUUUUGUUAGGGAAGAAAAGGAUAGUGUUAAUACCAUUAUCUGCUGACGGUACCUAAAGAAUAAGCACCGGCUAACUACGUG